AGAAAAUUCAAGACCACUAUUCUCACCGUGCUCCCCACUUUUUAAGAUGAAUUUGUGCUAGAAGAACCCUUAACAAACAGCUACAAAAUUGCUCACUAAUGACCAGGUGUGGCUGAUAGCAGAAGCAGCUCUCCUUGCUUAUAGAAGAACACUGCUUCCACAUCACAGGUGGACCCAUGCCAUGGAGCUGAUGCAACCAAGUGUGCCUCCAGUAUAGCAUUUAGCAAGGGGAGAUGGUGAUUUUGCUAACAGACACGGUUGCAAAUAAUGCCAAUGGCAGAGGAAAGAAGACAUAUUUCAUUCUGAGGAGGGAAAGACAAACACACACACCCCCUCCUCUGCCUGCCCCCUUCCCUGGCAGAGGUCCAGGUCAGCUGUCUCAGUGAACAACAACAGCACUCCUGGUCUUCAGAAACCUCUGGAAGGAAACCAGAGCCAUACGUGUACGUCUCGGCUCUUUCCCUUUUUGUGAUA
This is a long non-coding RNA of Empidonax traillii (willow flycatcher), 474 nucleotides long. RefSeq lists it as uncharacterized. The record is from RefSeq and is a predicted model, not a curated record. The transcript is spliced from 3 exons. NCBI's taxonomy places the organism in Eukaryota, Metazoa, Chordata, Aves, Passeriformes, Tyrannidae.